GAUUGUGGAGUUGGAAGAUCUUCCACUCGCAUGAAAAUGAAGGGUAAUAUCGGUGCUUCGCCGGCUACAUCAACAAAUAUGUUUCGAGAAACAAUGAAAGUCAAUUUCAUAUCUACUUGAUUAAUGUGUCCUCAUAUUUUCUUUCCGUGUUCCAAUCUAUCUAUCUAUACAUAUAUUAAAGCUUGGAAUUCUAGGAUAGUGUGCUUCCCGCCAAGAGCCACAUCAAUUGGCCCAAUGUAUCUUUCUGAUUCUUAUCCGCUGGGUUUGAGAAUGCAGGCAGUUUCGGCUCCAACAGUACAGCCCACAUUUGAAUUUUGAAUUUUUUGGAGCCCAAAUUAUUGCUUUCUUUCUCUAUAAAUAUGAAGUAAUUUCAGACCAAAUUCACUCUGCAAACUCUCUCUCUAUUUUAUGGUUUUUAUUCUCUCUCUCUCUCUAUUUUAUGGUUUUUAUGUUUCUAUGUCGUACUCUCAUUUUUUGCAGUUUAGUUCUUCUAAUUCUUUUCUUUUUUGUUUUUAUGUUUAUAUGUAGUACUUUUAUUUUAUUUUUUGCUUUUGGCUAACUAUUAGUUACAUUUACAAUAGAGAUAGUAAGAGAUUAUUACAACAAUUAUUUCUAAUUUAUACAUGAAGAGGCUGAUAUUUUUCUGAAUUUUUCUUUCGAGAUGAAGAUGAAGAUCUGUAUCUAUCAAUAGAGCAUGAAAGCAUGAAAGUGAUUAUCUCUUGGAUCUGCAAAAGCAACCAAAAAAAUGAAUUUAGUAUAUUUUAAUGAUCAGGAAAUAGACUAUUGUAUAUGUAAAAUUUUUCUUCAUACCCACAAAGGAAUUGGUUUUUUUCUGUUAUUUUUCUGCUAAAACAAUUUUUUACUUAUUUUCAAGCAUCAUCAAUAGACUAAUCCGAGAAUCAGCUCAAAUUUUCUAGAAUCAUCAAAUUUUCAAAGAAAAAACCGAUAAUCAGUUUAAAUUCUUUUAAAUCAAAGAUGCAAAUAAAGAAAAAAAAGUGCAGUUGAAAUUCAUCAAAGAUGCAAAUAAAGUAAAAAAAAGUGAAAAUAGGUAAGAACAUAAAAUUAUGCGGAAAAAAAUAAAGAUGUUCAUAGAGAUCGAUGUUCAUGUUGAAAAAAAGGUGUUCAUAGAUCUGCAAAAUUGAUAUGCGAAGGUAAACAGCUUGGUGAUUCGCGCAUGCAAUGAGCAGACAAGAAGGAAGAAGAUGAGGAACAGAGAUUCAACAAAAGGAAGAAGACGAGGAACAGAGAUUCAACAAUGGAGACACGGAAAUAGCAGCCAAAUCAAAACUUACCAACAUAAAAACGCCUGCUCCAGACCUUAACAAUAAGGUCGCUCUCUCUUCUUCCUCUCUUCUUCUUCCUCUUCCUCCCAAAAAAGAACACCCAAAAAAGAACACCCAAUAGGGGAAAUCGGAUCAGUAAAAGAACACCCAAAAAAGAACACCCAAGAGGGGAAAUCGGAUCAGUAGCGCCUAGAGAGAAAUAAAUGAUACAUUGUUCGUUUAGGAAAAUGCGUGUAGAAAUUCAUAGAUCUAAAAUGACACAAAAAAGAUGAAUAACUAAAAAAAUGAAAAACGAAUAUUCUAAAUAGCAUAAACUCUAUUCCUUCAAAAAAUAUGAGAAGAGAAAUUGUGGAAUCCACAUAAACUCUAUCAGGUAUGAGAAGAGAAAUUGUAAAAUACAAAGUGAAAGGCUACUUUUAUCCCCUCAAAAUUUGUGGAUAUCGUUUAAAUGAACAAAAAAAUAAUAACUCAGAAAGGAAAAUUAAACAUGGAGAACGAUAGAAAUAAAGAUGCAGACGAGGGAGCAGGCCGAGAUCUGGAGGCUAGGGCUUGGGCGACGCCGUAGUUUGAAACCCGUACGGCGGCGACUGAAUACAGGCUGUGCAGUGGCGCAUUUAUCGUCGUCGAGGAGAGUGGCGACGCCACUGAGUUGCGCCAGUGCCUAGAUGUGAGGGCGGAGUUGGUGGCUUAGGGAUCUAGGGCUUUUGGACGGCGGCUUGCCGUGAUACAGUUGCAGGUUUUUCGCCGGCAGAGGAUGAGGCGAAGGGAGAGAGAAGAUGAUGGAAAGCUUCUCGCGGGCAGCGUCGCAUGUGGAAAGGAGGAAUGUUUCGUUUCGACUGGGAGAAGAAACGAGAGAGAAGGCGCGGCGCUGAACCUUAAAGUGAGGGGAUGAAUAUUUGAGCUGUAUUUUAGGGUUGAAAAUAUAGAUGGGUUGUAUUUAAUUUAAUUGGGCUGAAUUUUUGGGUUGAAAAUAUAGAUGGGCUGUAUUUAAUUUAAUUGGGCU
RNAcentral lists this long non-coding RNA (2286 nucleotides) under Salvia miltiorrhiza (redroot sage). RNAcentral's name for it is "long non-coding RNA (SMIL_LNC000050)". Lineage: Eukaryota; Viridiplantae; Streptophyta; Magnoliopsida; Lamiales; Lamiaceae. The record is from RNAcentral.